UACGUAGGGUGCGAGCGUUGUCCGGAAUUAUUGGGCGUAAAGAGCUCGUAGGCGGUUUGUUGCGUCGACUGUGAAAACCCGCGGCUCAACCGUGUGGUCUGCAGUCGAUACGGGCAGGCUAGAGUUCGGUAGGGGAGACUGGAAUUCCUGGUGUAGCGGUGAAAUGCGCAGAUAUCAGGAAGAACACCCGUGGCGAAAGCGGCUCUCUGGGACGGUACUGACGCUGAGACGCGAAAGCGUGGGGAGCGAACAGG
This 254-nucleotide ribosomal RNA is filed under the name uncultured bacterium. RNAcentral describes it as "partial 16S ribosomal RNA". It matches the Rfam family "Bacterial small subunit ribosomal RNA", at positions 524 to 776 of the family's 1533-position model. The record is from RNAcentral.